GUCCACACUGUAAACGAUGAUUGCUAGGUGUGGGGGUCUGACCCCUUCCGUGCCGGAGUUAACGCAAUAAGCAAUCCACCUGGGGAGUACGGCCGCAAGGUUGAAACUCAAAGGAAUUGACGGGGGCCCGCACAAGCAGUGGAUUAUGUGGUUUAAUUCGACGCAACGCGAAGAACCUUACCAGGUCUUGACAUCCAACGAAUCCUUAAGAGAUUAGGGAGUGCCUUUCGGGGAACGUUGAGACAGGUGGUGCAUGGUUGUCGU
Molecule: ribosomal RNA, 264 nt
Filed under: uncultured bacterium
Lineage: Bacteria
Description: partial 16S ribosomal RNA
Rfam family: Bacterial small subunit ribosomal RNA
Source: RNAcentral